UACGAAGGGGGCUAGCGUUGUUCGGAUUUACUGGGCGUAAAGCGCACGUAGGCGGAUUGUUAAGUCAGGGGUGAAAUCCUGGAGCUCAACUCCAGAACUGCCUUUGAUACUGGCGAUCUCGAGUCCGGGAGAGGUGAGUGGAACUGCGAGUGUAGAGGUGAAGUUCGUAGAUAUUCGCAAGAACACCAGUGGCGAAGGCGGCUCACUGGCCCGGUACUGACGCUGAGGUGCGAAAGCGUGGGGAGCAAACAGG
Molecule: ribosomal RNA, 253 nt
Filed under: uncultured bacterium
Lineage: Bacteria
Description: partial 16S ribosomal RNA
Rfam family: Bacterial small subunit ribosomal RNA
Source: RNAcentral